Molecule: long non-coding RNA, 1874 nt
Organism: Anastrepha ludens (Mexican fruit fly)
Lineage: Eukaryota; Metazoa; Arthropoda; Insecta; Diptera; Tephritidae
Exons: 3
Source: RefSeq, a predicted model, not a curated record
UUAGGUGUACAUAUUCUAAGUAUGUAUAAUAUAUACAAUAUGUCCAAAGUUCAAUUCAUAGACUUAGAAUAUUUGCAUUGCUUUCUAUUAUAUUUCUGUAUUGUUGUAAAAUAUUUGACACCAUAAACAACAAAAGUGCAAUAACCAGUGCCUUCAACAGCUGUUGGACGACAUUGAGAAAGAAUCACGCAGUUGAUCUUCUGUAUUUGGAUUCAUGUACAAGGAGCGGCUCACAAUACUACGACCUCUAAGGUACUUGCUGAUGACUCACCAUCGCAUUGCUGAUAAGGCUAAUUGUAUGACUCAAUUGAUGAAAAGAUAGGCCUGGUUAUUUCAAAAAGGAAGGAAAACAUAUGAAAACGGCGAAUAGUGAAGGCGGCCGCAGAAAACCAUUUUGAAGGGCAAUCUAAAGAAAAUUGUUUAAGUGGCAAAAGGCAUAGUAUUCACGAUGUGCACAGUGUACAAGUAUUUCAUUUGAGGCGAAUUACAUUGAACUUGUCAGGAACUUGUCAGUUGCUCCUCGUAUAGCCACAAGGCGGAAAAAAAUUAUCAUCCUUGGCAUAAAGGCUGUCACCGCAGCAAUGUUCCUAUUAAAUUAUAAGAACUUGAGAACAGCUGAUAUGGAAUGGAUAAACCUGCGAGUAGUUCAGGAGUUCUAAGGAAUGCAAUAAAACUUUCAUAACUAAGGUAGAACUGUGCUCACAUACUUAAGUCACUUUAUAUUUUUACAAUAUUCGCAAUGGUUUUCAUGGACAUUAAUAUGAACAAUAUAAAUUUUAUAUAAUUUUUUGAGACUUAUAAGUGAGCAAUAAUCAUUCCCACGACAGUCGGGUCAACGUUGCCGGAACUAUUCAUUUUUUUCUUUAAGGAUUACCAUUCCAAAAUCUGCAUAUCUAUAUAAAGAAUCCAAUGUCGAAUCGCCAUUCCGGCUUCAGCAAAGAUAUUAAAAUUAUAGUAAAUGCGGCCCCCACAUUGGGCAGUAGUAAACCUGCGAGCGUAUUCUUCCAUGGAAGAUUAUUAUAAAAUGUAAUUGAAGAAAAGACGGGAUCUAAGCAUGACGAGGUUAUGUUUGCCCAUUGAGCCCCUUAAAAUUAGAACUUCAUACACAAUGCUUUAUCCGGAUAUUAAUAAAGAAUACCUAUUAAAAACGUGUAAUGGAAUUUCAACUCAUAGAUACGGACAAAUGAAAAUAUUGUCAUCUUGUAAUACUACACAAUGAGAUAAACAACUUAGGUGCAUGUAUGUGUUUGUAUUAUAAUAAAGUUGGGCUUGUAACUUACACGCCGCACAGUGCCGCUCUAGUGGACAAAAAUAGAAAUAUACAUUAUCUGAUGCGAUUACCUGUCUGGUAUUUUUAUAAAAGGAAUUUAUCAACUAAAAAUAAUCACCCCGAAAUUUCCCUAUUAAAUUAGUUAUACUAAAUAGUACUAACAAUUUUAAUCACAGCAUAUCCAAAUCUACGCAAAGCUCUUCACGAAAAAAAUAUCAAGAAUUAAUUGUUUUAAUAAAAUGUUGGUUUUAUUUCCCUAUACAUAUCAGACGACUAUGGGAAUAUAAAUUUGGAAUAAAAUUAAAUGAAACGCUUCAUUACGGAAUUCCCCAAAUAACCAAAUGGCAAUUUGUAAUGGAAUAAAUAAAAAAUAUAUGCACUUCGUGGAAGGAGAUUUCAGUCGAUAGAGGAGAUCAAAGAGAAUGCGACGAAGGAGCAGAAGACCAUCCCUUCGUCGGCCUACCAGGGGUGCAUGGAGGACUAGGUUAAACGUUGGCACAUGUGUGUAGCUUCAGACGGGUCAUAUAUUGAAGGAGAUAAAAUAAAUUUGCCUGAAAUUUAACUCUGUUUUGUUUUAUUUAAACAUUCCCGGUACUUUCAGAUC